CGGUAUUAAAUGGAAAAGAUGAGCUAGUGAUGUGACUUACUUUCCUACCUCUGGUCUGAUACCUAAUUGUAAAGUUUGGCACCAUUUCAUAUCAGCAAAAAUGAUCCCCAGUAACAAUACCAGCGAGGUCACAAAGGAACGGGUUUUACUGAAUUUUGUUAUUCAGAAGGGGUAUUCUCUUGAUGUUGGCAAGGUCAUUCAAAAUAGCAUUCUUCGCAUCAUAGCAGGCUGGCUACAGGUAGUUUGGGACACCCCUCUUUGAUCCAUGACCUUUGCAUACACAGGGGUGUUCCCACGCGAGAAACUGAUGAAGUGUUGCACCAAAAACAAC
Molecule: long non-coding RNA, 331 nt
Filed under: Olea europaea (common olive)
Lineage: Eukaryota; Viridiplantae; Streptophyta; Magnoliopsida; Lamiales; Oleaceae
Description: long non-coding RNA (OEUR_LNC002248)
Source: RNAcentral